AUACAAUACUAAAAGGGGAAUAAGGGCUUCCCACAUGCUUCCACGUCCUUAAUAAUAAUCAACCAAUAGGAUGUCUUUUUUUUUCCACGUCACGCGAAGGAUGGGCUGUUUUGUUUCUUUGAUCCGUAAAAUAUAAAAUUUGACACAAAAGCCCAAUCCAAAAUAAACCUAGCAAAACUCAUAAACAUCGUCUUUUUCUCUUUCUCACCUUCCCCAGUUUUCUACGUUUCUUCCCUACUGUAUCUAAGCCAUAAAUUGAACCUCUAAUAACAUAAACGUUCGACUUGCUUCAUUAUCGUCUCCACCUCUCUCCUUAUCUGCGAAAAUCAAUCAUAGUAUUCUAAUCUCUUGCUUUGUUUGAUUGCUUCCAUGUCAGUUGGCUUCCUUAAAAUAUAUUGGAUUCUUCUUCUUCCCUGGAAAAUUGAAGGUGCUUCCUCUUUUUUCCCUCUCUCUUACUUCUUAAUUGUUUUCAUAACUAAAUUGGAUAUGCGAUUCGAUCUAAUUUAGGGUUUUAGUAUCAAUAUUAUCCCAAUUUCGUUCAUAUCACAGCACUGUCUCUGGGUUCUAAAAAGAAAAGCUCUCAAUAUCUUAUUUUUCUCUGCCACAGAGAGAGAGAGAGAGAGAGAGAGAGAGAGAGAGAGAGAGAGAGAGAGAGAGAGAGAGAGAGAGAGAGAGAGAGAGAGAGAGAGAGAGAGAGAGCUAAAGGGGUUUCGAGUGAAGAUGAAGGAGGGAAAGCAAUAGAGACGUCACAGCCGACGGUGGCUCCUCCGGCGAAGCACAGCCGACAGCUAGGAGCUCAGCUGUCGGGAAGCAUGAGUUUCAGCAGACAAAUGUCGAAUGAAGACGAGGAGAUGUCGAGGACGGCUUUGUCUGCUAUCAGGGCGAAAGAAGAGGAGAUCGAGAAGAAUAAGAUGGAGAUUAGGGAAAGGGUUCAAGCUCAGCUUGGUCGUGUCGAAGAGGAGACUAAGCGCCUCGCUUUGAUCCGUGAGGAACUUGAAGGUUUAGCUGAACCCAUGAGGAAAGAAGUUGCUUUGGCCAGGAAGAAGAUUGAUUCUGUCAACAAAGAGUUAAAGCCUUUGGGUCAUACUGUUCAGAAAAAGGAACGAGAGUACAAAGAAGCUCUUGAAGCAUUCAACGAAAAGAACAGGGAGAAGGUGCAGCUAAUCACCAAGCUUACGGAGACUCGAGAAUAAUAAAUAAGAUUCAGUGAGAAAGGUGAAUCAGGCCAACAUGCAUGACGGCACAUCCAGAAAGUAAUUUACCUUCUUGAUACCAGCAAUCACAUGCAGCGGAACAAAACCAUGAUCAUCCAUGUGCCCACGAAGUUUUACGUUUAGAGGAAGAUCUUGGACUUGGUAAAAGACUGGACCAGGUGAGAGAGGGCUGAUGAAAGGCAUACGGGGAUAAUAUGGAGAUGCCAAUUCUGAAAUGAAAGACGCAUUAGAAAAAAAAAAGAGUUCCAAAACGUGAUCUUUCAAUGUAUCUCACUAGGAGGAAAAGGCACAUGCCCGCCAAAAGGCUGAAUAGGCUGAGCUGCCAUAAACUGAGGAGGAAUUGACUGCAUAGUUGGAGGUUGAUGUCUCACAAAUGCUGGGGCGCCUCUUUGUGAAUGUGCAUUUCCAUCUCUCCCACUAAAGCUUCUGCAAAAAUUCCAGUUUUGAUUCCCUUGCUCCUGGCUGCGCCUGCCACCAUGACUUUGGUGGUGGUGGUGGUGGUGGUUACCAUUUUGGUUCCUGUGCGAGUGCCGUGGUGAAAAGUUGUCACUACAACCACCAUGGGUUUGUGAUGCAGAGCCAUUCCUCUGGUUUUGGCCUCUAGGAGAAGGGUUGUGCGAAGGUGUUUCGACAAGUGGAUCUUGAGAAACAGUACCAUUAGCAGCGGAUCCAGAAGAGCUAUAGUAAUUUUUAAAAAAAUUUAUAAAAUAAAAAAAAUUUAAUAUAAAAUAAUUUUACUGUUGACUUACUAUUCUAAUAUUUCAAUUUGAAUAUUCUCUUUGUUUUAUAAUAUAAUGGUUUAAAAGUAUUUUUUGUUACACUAUAUAAAUUGUUUUUAUAUUUCAAUGUAACUUUAUAUUUAUUAUAUAUUGCGUGGCCAAUUAAAUUAUGUAAAUUACUGUAUAAUUGUUUAAAUUUAAAUAUUAAAUGACAGUUUUCUAAAGAAAUAACUUUUAAAUAUUACAGAUUUUAAUUAAAAUUGAUUACAUUUUGAAGCAGAUGGAGUAAUCUAUAAACUAACUCUAUAUAUAUACCUUGAAUUUCUCUCAUUAUGUGCAUUCCUAACUCGAAUGAGAUAAUCAACAUCUAAUAUUAUGUUACUCUCAGUAUAUUAGAAAUGAUCGAACCGUAAACCAAUUAAGGAUGAUGUAAGGAAGACAUAAAUAUGUAUUUCCAGUUAUCAUAAAAUAUAGAAUCAAUUGACAGCAACUUAAUUAUGUUCAGCGUAGAACAACAGAGAAGAGUUUCCAUAAUUUCUAAUAUUAUAAUAUCUCACUAUUUUAAGCUUUUCUCUAGCACAAAUACUCACUUUAUUCUGGAGUUUAAGCUUUUCUAUCUGAUGAUAUUAGUAGUUUGAUCCAAAAAAGAAAACAGUCGAACUGUACAUUGUAAUUGGAAAAAGAAAACAAACAAAGGUAUAUGAAACAAAAACUGGAAAUAUCAAUUAUCUGCAAUUAAAGAAUAAUAAAGCAAUAAAAUUGUAAAAAUACAAAAAAAUAAUUUACACAGAAAAAGAUUUAGUAAAAUAAAAUCGUAAUAUAAUUUUCAUAAUUGAUAGUGCUCAGUUAAAAAGUCUAAAUUUACAACAUACACAGUUUUAUUUACAUCUUUAAACCUAUUAUCUAAUUAAAAUGAUUCUAAGGAAAGUGCCAGCAUGAAGAGUUAGAAACUAUACGAUAAAAUAUAAUACAUAAUAUUAAAAAUACAUUACUGAU
This is an RNA transcript of Brassica napus (rape), 2929 nucleotides long. RefSeq lists it as uncharacterized. The transcript is spliced from 5 exons. The record is from RefSeq and is a predicted model, not a curated record. Lineage: Eukaryota; Viridiplantae; Streptophyta; Magnoliopsida; Brassicales; Brassicaceae.